ACAGAGAAUGUUUUUCACUGAUCAGCAAUUGAAGUCAGUAAUAUUAAGGAGUUUGUUGCUUUUUUCUUUAUGUUGGACAGACUACAGAGUGAACAGAUCCAUACUUCUAUCUGCAGAAUAUUUUUAUUUUCAAGAUAUGAAACAGUUUCAGAGACACUGAAGCAAAUCAGAAAGAAACUUGCAACAUAUUCUUCUCCUUAGUUUAUGGAACACAGCCUAUGCAAAGGAGAGCAAUAACAGCAAUAAUAUCCAGGGUAAAUGAAAUGAGCAGUGCAUGGCUAGUUUACAAAGACACUAUAGAACUAUAAAUGUAACUACAAAAGAGUAAGUAAAAUUCC
This 338-nucleotide long non-coding RNA is filed under the name Phasianus colchicus (ring-necked pheasant). RNAcentral describes it as "lncRNA (ENSPCLG00000016974.1)". The record is from RNAcentral. Lineage: Eukaryota; Metazoa; Chordata; Aves; Galliformes; Phasianidae.